This 499-nucleotide ribosomal RNA is filed under the name uncultured bacterium. RNAcentral describes it as "partial 16S ribosomal RNA". It matches the Rfam family "Bacterial small subunit ribosomal RNA", at positions 28 to 507 of the family's 1533-position model. The record is from RNAcentral.
GACGAACGCUGGCGGCGUGCUUAACACAUGCAAGUCGAACGGGCCUGUCUUCUUUUUUGGGGGUGGGUUGAGUGGCGAACGGGUGAGUAUCACGUGAGUAACCUGCCCUUCGGUCCUGGAUAACCGCUUGAAAGGGCGGCUAAUACGGGGUGGUCCGGUUGGUCCGCAUGGGCUGGUCGGGAUAGAUUCACUGUUUUUGGUGUUUCGGCGGGGGAUGGGCUCGCGGCCUAUCAGCUUGUUGGUGGGGUGAUGGCCUACCAAGGCGGUGACGGGUAGCCGGCCUGAGAGGGUGGGCGGCCACACUGGGACUGAGAUACGGCCCAGACUCCUGCGGGAGGCAGCAGUGGGGGGUAUUGCACAAUGGGCGGAAGCCUGAUGUAGCGACGUCGCGUGAGGGAGGGAGGCCUUCGGGUUGUGAACCUCUGUUUCCGGUGGUGAAGGCCCUGUCCGUGUGGUGGGGUUGACGGUAGCCGGGGAUGAAGCGCCGGCUAACUACGUG